RNAcentral lists this ribosomal RNA (484 nucleotides) under uncultured bacterium. Its description in RNAcentral is "partial 16S ribosomal RNA". It matches the Rfam family "Bacterial small subunit ribosomal RNA", at positions 30 to 507 of the family's 1533-position model. The record is from RNAcentral.
AUUGAACGCUGGCGGCAGGCCUAACACAUGCAAGUCGAGCGGAUGAAGGGAGCUUGCUCCUGGAUUCAGCGGCGGACGGGUGAGUAAUGCCUAGGAAUCUGCCUGGUAGUGGGGGAUAACGUCCGGAAACGGGCGCUAAUACCGCAUACGUCCUGAGGGAGAAAGUGGGGGAUCUUCGGACCUCACGCUCUCAGAUGAGCCUAGGUCGGAGUAGCUAGUUGGUGGGGUAAAGGCCUACCAAGGCGACGAUCCGUUACUGGUCGGAGAGGAUGAUCAGUCACACUGGAACUGAGACACGGUCCAGGCUCCUACGGGAGGCAGCAGUGGGGAAUAUUGGACAGUGGGCGAGAGCCUGAUCCAGCCGUGCCGCGUGUGUGAAGAAGGUCUUCGGAUUGUAAAGCACUUUAAGUUGGGAGGAAGGGCAGUAAGUUAAUACCUUGCUGUUUUGACGUUACCAACAGAAUAAGCACCGGCUAACUUCGUG